AAACUUUCAACAACGGAUCUCUUGGUUCUGGCAUCGAUGAAGAACGCAGCGAAAUGCGAUAAGUAGUGUGAAUUGCAGAAUUCAGUGAAUCAUCGAAUCUUUGAACGCACAUUGCGCCCCUCGGUAUCCCGGGGGGCAUGCCUGUUCGAGCGUCAUUU
This 158-nucleotide ribosomal RNA is filed under the name Caliciopsis pinea. RNAcentral's name for it is "5.8S ribosomal RNA". It matches the Rfam family "5.8S ribosomal RNA". Rfam says of the family: 5.8S ribosomal RNA (5.8S rRNA) is a component of the large subunit of the eukaryotic ribosome. The record is from RNAcentral. RNAcentral also lists the same sequence under 4 other names. Lineage: Eukaryota; Fungi; Ascomycota; Eurotiomycetes; Coryneliales; Coryneliaceae.